Molecule: transfer RNA, 69 nt
Filed under: Ictidomys tridecemlineatus (thirteen-lined ground squirrel)
Lineage: Eukaryota; Metazoa; Chordata; Mammalia; Rodentia; Sciuridae
Description: Spermophilus tridecemlineatus (thirteen-lined ground squirrel) tRNA
Rfam family: tRNA
About the family: Transfer RNA (tRNA) molecules are approximately 80 nucleotides in length. Their secondary structure includes four short double-helical elements and three loops (D, anti-codon, and T loops).
Source: Rfam by way of RNAcentral
GGGAUUGUGGCUCAGUAGUAGGGUGCUUGCCUAGCAUGCAUGAGGCCCUGGGUUCCAACCUCAGCACCA